GCACCUUCAGAGCACUGCUUUAACCACCCACUAACCAGAGAACACUGCUUCUGGGCUCUCUCCUUUCUUAGCACCCAUCCUCCCGCUGGGGAGGAUCCUUGACACAGGUGAUACCUACAUCUGUCUCCAGUCUCAACAGGCAUGUCUGAGGACACCCAUGCUGGCCUCGGCAUCACCCUCCAAACCUGCUCCUACACACUGUCCCAUCAGUGGGUUCCUUCUCCCUGGAAAAUGUGAUGAGUCCUCAGGGUUCUUCAGUCCUUCUGCACCUGUCAUCUCCCCAACCCCCUUACCCCACGGGAAAAAAUACACAGCCUAUUGGUUACCACCA
This is a long non-coding RNA of Phyllostomus hastatus (greater spear-nosed bat), 331 nucleotides long. RefSeq lists it as uncharacterized. The transcript is spliced from 2 exons. The record is from RefSeq and is a predicted model, not a curated record. Lineage: Eukaryota; Metazoa; Chordata; Mammalia; Chiroptera; Phyllostomidae.